RNAcentral lists this ribosomal RNA (468 nucleotides) under uncultured bacterium. Its description in RNAcentral is "partial 16S ribosomal RNA". It matches the Rfam family "Bacterial small subunit ribosomal RNA", at positions 28 to 507 of the family's 1533-position model. The record is from RNAcentral.
GACGAACGCUGGCGGCGUGCUUAACACAUGCAAGUCGAACGGAAAGGCCCUGCUGUUGUGGGGUGCUCGAGUGGCGAACGGGUGAGUAACACGUGAGUAACCUGCCCUUGACUUUGGGAUAACUUCAGGAAACUGGGGCUAAUACCGGAUAGGAGCUCCUGCUGCAUGGUGGGGGUUGGAAAGUUUCGGCGGUUGGGGAUGGACUCGCGGCUUAUCAGCUUGUUGGUGGGGUAGUGGCUUACCAAGGCUUUGACGGGUAGCCGGCCUGAGAGGGUGACCGGCCACAUUGGGACUGAGAUACGGCCCAGACUCCUACGGGCGGCAGCAGUGGGGAAUAUUGCACAAUGGGCGGAAGCCUGAUGCAGCAACGCCGCGUGCGGGAUGACGGCCUUCGGGUUGUAAACCGCUUUCGCCUGUGACGAAGCGUGAGUGACGGUAAUGGGUAAAGAAGCACCGGCUAACUACGUG